GGGGGUGGAUGGGGAACUGGUGUCCUCCCUGGCCUUCAAAGCCAUGUGUGCGGUGUGGUGCAUCGCAGGUGAGUUCGAUUCUCACACACUCCCGCCA
RNAcentral lists this transfer RNA (97 nucleotides) under Alicyclobacillus sp. SO9. RNAcentral describes it as "tRNA-Sec". It matches the Rfam family "Selenocysteine transfer RNA". Lineage: Bacteria; Bacillati; Bacillota; Bacilli; Caryophanales; Alicyclobacillaceae. The record is from RNAcentral.